AACAAACCAAUUUUUCACUUUUUACCUAUAAUGUUUAACUCUUCGUCUUAUUCAAAAAAAACUUUACAAUUAACAUUUUUGUUUUUAUUAGAUGAUAAAUUAUGAAUAGUACUUAACGUGUAACUAAUUUUUUUUAAUUUCUUAAAAAACUUCAAAUAAGACAAAUGAUCAAACGUUGGACACGGGAACCAAAGAGUUGGUUUAUU
Molecule: microRNA precursor, 206 nt
Filed under: Oryza brachyantha (malo sina)
Lineage: Eukaryota; Viridiplantae; Streptophyta; Magnoliopsida; Poales; Poaceae
Description: MIR812 microRNA precursor family
Rfam family: MIR812 microRNA precursor family
Source: Rfam by way of RNAcentral